RNAcentral lists this ribosomal RNA (1242 nucleotides) under Triticum aestivum (bread wheat). RNAcentral describes it as "partial small subunit ribosomal RNA". Lineage: Eukaryota; Viridiplantae; Streptophyta; Magnoliopsida; Poales; Poaceae. The record is from RNAcentral.
AUGCACGACGACGAGACGGCCACCACCAAGACGAAGGCGAACAUACUGUACCUGCCGGACGAGCUAGUGUCGGAGAUCCUGCCCCGGCUCCCCGUGGAGUCGCUGCUGCGAUUCAGGUCCGUCUGCAAGGUCUGGCGCGGCAUCAUCGACAAGAACUCCUUCCUGCGCCAGCACCUCCGCCUCCAGACUUCGUCCCUGCUCGUCGCGCCGUGGAUCAGGGAGAACGACAACGAUCGCCCUCUCGCUUCUUCCACCGGAGAGUUGACCGCCGCCGGUUUGUACCUGUGGGAUGGGAAGCAGCAGAGCGUCGGCACGCUCCUACACGCCGUGUCCGACUACCGCUUCAAGAAGGCGGCGUUGCACAGGAUGGCCCAUUGCGAUGGACUGGUGUUGUUGCCUACUGACAAUACAGUGCACGUAGUUAACCCAGCCACUCGGCGCAGCAUCACGCUUCCCCCGACCCCUAACGCCGUCGGGCUCGUCAACCGCUUCCAAGGUCCUCACGCGUUCGGUCUUGGCCACGAUCCUCGUUCCAAUGCUUACAAGGUUGCUCACUUCUAUGGUUAUCUGGACAUGGACAUGCGCACCCCAGGUAGCUACUACUAUACUGCCAAGAUGGGGGUGUUCACCAUAGGAACAGACAGUUGUUGGCGUGACACUGCGGCGGCACCGCCGCAUCAUCAUGUGAUCCCACAGCGAACGGCGACCUUCUCCAAGGGCUCCUUGUUCUGGACCGUCGAGGAGGGGGUUCUCCACGACACACCAGUCGCUCCAGGCUUUGUCCGUUACAGGUUAGAGGAUGAGUCGUUCAGCAUCGUAUCGGCGCCUCCUUGCACCCCAAGGUUGAACUACGAGGCGUCCAGUUUAACCGACCUCCACGGGGAGCUGUGUGUAUGCGUGCCUCGGUCAGGGUUCGAUGUUCUCGAGAUGUGGAUGUCGGGAGAUCUAGAUUAUGGUUCCGACCCGCCACAUUGGGAUCUGUGUCGUGUCAUCAACGGGCCCUUUCCAUUUGGAUCUUAUAUGCCAGUGAUCGCGACGGCUGAUGCCGUAGUGUUCCAAUUUGCAAAAUACUAUCUCUACAAAUCGGAUCUCCAAAGUCCAAAAUUUAAUUGGAACAAGUUGAUUGAAAUGAAGCGCUUGAGGUAUCAUCACCUAGACACCGAUACAUUUGUCAAAUACGCACGAAAAAUUAUUGCUGACCUUUAUGUAAUCCCCUACGUUCCAAGCCUAGUUCCGAUCUAG